AACGAACGCUGGCGGCAGGCUUAACACAUGCAAGUCGAGCGCCCCGCAAGGGGAGCGGCAGACGGGUGAGUAACGCGUGGGAACGUACCUUUUGGUUCGGAACAACUCCGGGAAACUGGAGCUAAUACCGGAUAAGCCCUAACGGGGAAAGAUUUAUCGCCGAAAGAUCGGCCCGCGUCUGAUUAGCUAGUUGGUGAGGUAACGGCUCACCAAGGCGACGAUCAGUAGCUGGUCUGAGAGGAUGAUCAGCCACACUGGGACUGAGACACGGCCCAGACUCCUACGGGAGGCAGCAGUGGGGAAUAUUGGACAAUGGGCGCAAGCCUGAUCCAGCCAUGCCGCGUGAGUGAUGUAGGCCUUAGGGUUGUAAAGCUCUUUUGUCCGGGAAGAUAAUGACCGUACCGGAAGAAUAAGCCCCGGCUAACUUCGUG
Molecule: ribosomal RNA, 431 nt
Filed under: uncultured bacterium
Lineage: Bacteria
Description: partial 16S ribosomal RNA
Rfam family: Bacterial small subunit ribosomal RNA
Source: RNAcentral